UACGAAGGGGGCUAGCGUUACUCGGAUUGACUGGGCGUAAAGGGCGCGUAGGCGGAUGGUACAGUCAGACGUGAAAUUCCUGGGCUCAACCUGGGGGCUGCGUUUGAUACGUGCUGUCUGGAGUUCGGAAGAGGGUCGUGGAAUUCCCAGUGUAGAGGUGAAAUUCGUAGAUAUUGGGAAGAACACCGGUGGCGAAGGCGGCGACCUGGUCCGAUACUGGACGCUGAGGCGCGAAAGCUGGGGAGCAAACAGG
Molecule: ribosomal RNA, 253 nt
Filed under: uncultured bacterium
Lineage: Bacteria
Description: partial 16S ribosomal RNA
Rfam family: Bacterial small subunit ribosomal RNA
Source: RNAcentral